CACAAGGACACUUGCUCAACUAUGUUCAUAGCAGCAUUACUUGUAAUAGCCAGAACCUGGAAACAACACAGAUGCCCCUCAACUGAAGAAUGGAUAAAGAAAAUGGAAUAUUACUCAGCUGUAAAACACAAUGACCUCAUGGAAUCUGCCGGCAAAUGGAUGGAACUAGAACAAAAAAAAAUUCUGAGUGACAAACACGGCUUCUACUGUUGAUGGCCUUUAUGGAAAUAUAAAUUCAAUCAGCAGCUGCAAAUUUCAUGAGACGUCCAUCUUCAUGCUGAAUUUCUAACUGAGUGUCAAAACAAUCUGUGGACUUCUCCCUGAUGAAACACACAUUGAAUUGUAAAUUUCUGCAAUUUCCUCACGGUUGACUCUCAGCUGCCAGCCUGGAAACAGCCUACUAGGCUGCAGCAAAUAAUUCUUCCUUCUUAUUUCUUCAUGAGUUAAAAUGUAUAAGGAGCAUGAAGUCCCCCUUCCCCAGCGUUGGACAAUUAAAUUUUCUACGCUAACAAGAAAACAAGGCAAUCCACCCCCCCCAUAGAUACACUCGCUAUGUUUUAUAAAGAAACUAUUGUCUAAGAGACGUACAUGUUCUGUAUGGUCAUCUGUACUCAUUUACACUAGUUGGUAAGUGAACAAGACAGUUUUGAUAAAAUUAGUAUUUUCUAUAUAUGAUAUCAACUAAGUCUAUAACUGAAAAGCAGUCACUAGUAACUACAGGUUUAAUGAGAUACAUUGUUAUUAAAUAUUCCCAAGAGGAAAAUAUUAAAGCAAAAAAAUUAA
Molecule: non-coding RNA, 783 nt
Organism: Cricetulus griseus (Chinese hamster)
Lineage: Eukaryota; Metazoa; Chordata; Mammalia; Rodentia; Cricetidae
Source: RefSeq, a predicted model, not a curated record